ACAAGAGGAUCAGGACCAAUUGUAUCGUUUCCUCGAAAAGGUUCUGCUAGCUGUUAAUCAAAGUCGAUGAAUUCGAAAAUCCAGUGAUGUCAGGCGGGGAGAUUUACGCGAUGGACGCGGGAGACGCCGUUAAUUCCGAGGAAUUAAAGGAGACUCUUAAGACAUACAAAAAGCUGGCCGACGAUUUUGCGAACCACGACACAAUACUGAAAGACAAAACGGUUCUCUCGUACAUUGCAUACGUUUUGGAAGUCCCCGAUGCCGAAGUAGUAUCGCUGGCGAUAGACAUACUCGAGACGUUUGUAAAGAACGUUGAGAAUUACAUUCACGUGACCUCCACCUUUGGAGUCCGAGAGGCUUUAGAUUCAGUUAUCGAUAAGUACUCGUUAGAGGACCCUAAAUUAGCUAAACAUGCCCAGCGGGUUAGAGACGACAUCGAACGCAUGAAACCUCCGAUAUACAAUCUACGCAGCCGUUGCAGGAGAGUUAUCGAGCCGAAGAAGCUAAAGACUCACGUUAUAGUCCUGCAUGUUCACGGUCUACUUCCCGAAACCAGGGCGGAGUUGGAAGACACUUUAAUCAGGGUAGAAGGAUUAGUUUCCCUCGUCGUCGACGUGGAACACCAGAGAGUCACUAUGAGAACGUUGAUCAACGUCACAGCAAAGCAAAUAGCGGAUGCCAUUGAGAAACACACCACUAAUAUGGAAGCUAGAUUAGUGACGAAGAACAAAUUCAAUCAAGAAUUUUUAGUUAAACUGACACACACCGACAAUGGUGAGUGCGAGGAAAUGCCAGAAUAUUUGCCAGAGGACGACGAGCCGGAAGAGGAGAAAGAAGGAGUCGUGUCUCUUUUCACCGGCCUGAGGCAAAGCGCGUCUACGCUUUACAAAUCCACCACAGAGUUUCUACAUAAUUCGUUCUACUGGUGAAUCGGUUUUCACUUGUAGAACGGCUGUAUAUUAAUUUAUUAUUUUGUAUCGACGAACUACGCAUUUGAAACCGUCCUAACGGUUCUCUGAUUUCUCAUCGCAUACCAGUGGUAAGUACAGCGACUUUCGGAGAGAGUAGUUAAUUUUAAAUCCUUCCGUGAGACCGUAAAGCAGUUCCAAGGUAAAUGUUAAUUGGUUAAUUAUUUUCUGAUCUAUCAGAAACCAUUUGACUUAUUUCUCCUCGCUUCUAACAAUUGUACAAAGAUAGAGACCAGCACUGUUUCAUGAAUGGUGAUAUUUUUAAUUUCAAUCAUGGUUUGACCAGAGAAACAUAACCUAAUGGAGAAUUGAACAAUUAGGGUAUUUCUUAGCAACGGAUAUUUAAAAUUGUAUAUAGGUUAUGUGAUUCAACCGAUACGUCUUGCUUAUGAUCAGGAGAGAAUAACAAGAAUAAUCUGUGGUGUGUAAAUUCUUUGGUGUUCGUCGAGUCUCUCUACGUUGAUUUUUAUAGAGAAAGGGAUAAUAACCUAAAAGUAUAACCGAAACGAACCAUGAUCUCUAAAGAUCUGCCUUUAAAGAGUUACAUAGACUUAACGAUGUCUACGAUCUACAAAUAAUUCCCCCCUGUGUUUAAAUUAUAUAUUCCGGUUACCUUUUCUGCGAAGAGUAGCUUUUUGUAAUAAAUCUAUGAAAUUUUCCAAAUCUCUGGAGCCCCUUCGUCUCGUCUUACAAGUCGACUCGAUACUUUCCACAAUUUAGCCACAUCGUUGCAUUUCCCCCUCGGAGUGAAAUCGUGUAAAUACUAUUCGCAUCGAUUGGAAUCCCUUUCACUAGUCCAAUCGAAGGAAACUAAAACUCAAAAUGAAGUAGAAUAACUUUUCCAACGCAUCGUUACACCAUCGAGGAAUUCCUAGACUCAUUAAAACUAAGAUUGCAUUAAAGUGACGACGGAGUAGAAUUUAGUCGAUAAGGAUUUUCUCAGCAGAUUUCGAAUCUUUCUCCUCCCAUUUCUAUCGUAAUUUAAUUUACCAGACAUGUCGAAAAUCCCCAUCGUACUCAUAAAUUUAUGGGGCUGCGCAAAGAAGUCCUCCCAUAUAUUCCCUACGUUAAGUUUUUACCCAACGACAAAAGACACCGAGACCUCAACUUGUAUUAUAUAACAUUGUAAAAUACGCGGAGAAAUAUAUACGUAGAGAUGUUCUAUGUAGAGAGCGCAGUGAUUAUUGCAAUUUUAUUCGCAAUUAGUACUGCCAGAAUAAUUAUUAAUUAUAAUCCAUUGAUUAAAGAUGGAUUAAUUAGACCGAUCGACAGAGGGUCUGAAAGUUGUAACAAAUUGGAAUAUAUUUUUAAUCCUCAGGGAAAAGAACAGCGAUCUGAUUAUCUCUCUAGCUACCGAUCAACUAAUUAAUUAAUUAUUAACUUUUAAUUAACAAAUGGGCUUCGGUAAAGAAAAGAUGUAUAUGUAUAUUGUAUCGUUCUCUAAUUCUAUAAUUAAGAAAUUACAGAGAACCAGUCAGUUUAUUUAUUUAUCUUUAGCUGCCAUUUGAGAGGAACGACUUCUUCUUUUUUUUCUUAUUUUUUUUUUCUGUAACUAGAGGCAUUAAUUACGCCGGAUACAUUACGUACGAUUACAACUAUACAGUAAACACGGGUCUCCUAAAUUAAUUUAUUAUCCUUCCGGCGGGCCGGAAUUGUUAACAACAUUCGCCCUAUACCUAGUACUCUCCCUUGGCUUCGUAUUGUCUAUAUUUACACUUGUAGAAUAAUUGUUAAUUGUCGUUAAGGCAAUUUCAGUUUCCAAGCAGGUACAAUAGAUUAAUACUAAUCUAUUCUUCUCCGGAUCUAAUUAAUUUUCAGUAAUUUUCAGUAAUUUUCCCUCCGUCAUUCACUUCUAAUUGGCAUUGACAACAAAUUUUCCCGUCCAUUUGUAUAAUUGUUAGCAACUAUAGUGCUAGGUCGCUUUAUCGAAUUAAUUUGUACAGAGGAUUUAUCUUUCUCUCCUCCGAAGGGAGGGGGAUAAGAUUGGAAAUAAAGCCCGAUACAAUACAAUACAUCGUAUAACGAAUUACAUUGCACGAUUAGGUAUAGUCAAUUGUAUGAAAAAAGUUUGUAUACAAACUCUUUGUCGUCGCUAUCAUUGUUACGAGUCUAUCAUCCGCGCAAAUUGUUUUUUUUCCCCCCAACUAUUUUCGCUUUUUGUACAUUGUUUGCUUGUAUAGUUAGUUAACUGUUCACUGACGUUGGUUUUCUUGUAUAUCGUUUUCUUGUACAUUCAACUAUUCAGUUGAUUGUUGCUAGUAAAUUAUGCGCGCUCUGAGAAUCUAGGAAAAUUGUUUUUUUUUCUGUACAACUAUUUUCGUUUUCUUGUACAUUGUUUGCUUGCACAGUCAACUAUUCAACGCCUGAGGUUAGUUUUCUUGUACAUUCAACUAUUUAAUUAAUUUUGUUGCUAGUAAUUUAUAUGAGCUCUGAAAAUCUCUGCAAUUUGUUUUUCCCCGCCCAACUAUUUUCCAUUUUCUUGUACAUUGUUUGCUUGUACAUUAAACUACUCAGUGCCUGACUUCAGUAUAAAUAUCUGUAAAUAACAUACACGAUUAUGCGCGCUUAAUUCCUAAUUAAGUUGCCUUAUUCAACCUGACUUAUCGAAUAUUAAUUAUAUAAAUAAACAUUUCCGACAAAUUGAGUAAACAUUGCACGGCCAACUAUACCCCUCGCGGCAUACAAUUUUGCAUUAACAUUGCCCGAUGUAUUCAUUUCGAAUUACAAAUUAAAAAUUUAACAAAUACCGACGAUACAAAAAUGUUAAUUAAAAAAAAAAAUAAAUAAACAAUACAGAAUAAAAAUAUUCAGAUACAAUUUAUGCACGUUAUCAACUAUACUUGUAUUCACUCAACGCGAUCCGUUCGAAAAUUUUACAAAAAUUAUAACAAAUUAUCAUUCUUGACAUUGCGCCGCGCAAUGUUAAUUAAUAAUUAAAAAAAUCAUACACCGCGGGGGAAUCCCGGAAAUGCAAAAUUGUGGAGACGAUUCUAGCUUAUCUAGCUGUACAAUUUAAUUAUUAACUAAAUCCCUGGGGAGCGCGAUGUAACAAAAAAAAAAAAUAAACAAACAAAAAACAUAG
Molecule: unclassified non-coding RNA, 4050 nt
Filed under: Orussus abietinus
Lineage: Eukaryota; Metazoa; Arthropoda; Insecta; Hymenoptera; Orussidae
Description: armadillo repeat-containing protein 1, transcript variant X1
Source: RNAcentral